RNAcentral lists this ribosomal RNA (449 nucleotides) under uncultured Anaplasma sp. RNAcentral's name for it is "bacterial SSU rRNA". It matches the Rfam family "Bacterial small subunit ribosomal RNA", at positions 69 to 551 of the family's 1533-position model. Lineage: Bacteria; Pseudomonadati; Pseudomonadota; Alphaproteobacteria; Rickettsiales; Anaplasmataceae. The record is from RNAcentral.
UUCUUUAUAGCUUGCUAUGGAGGAUAAUUAGUGGCAGACGGGUGAGUAAUGCAUAGGAAUCUACCUAGUAGUAUGGGAUAGCCACUAGAAAUGGUGGGUAAUACUGUAUAAAUCCUGCGGGGGAAAGAUUUAUCGCUAUUAGAUGAGCCUAUGUUAGAUUAGCUAGUUGGUAGGGUAAAGGCCUACCAAGGCGAUGAUCUAUAGCUGGUCUGAGAGGAUGAUCAGCCACACUGGAACUGAGAUACGGUCCAGACUCCUACGGGAGGCAGCAGUGGGGAAUAUUGGACAAUGGGCGCAAGCCUGAUCCAGCUAUGCCGCGUGAGUGAGGAAGGCCUUAGGGUUGUAAAACUCUUUCAGUAGGGAAGAUAAUGACGGUACCUACAGAAGAAGUCCCGGCAACUCCGUGCCAGAGCCGCGGUAAUACGGAGGGGGCAAGCGUUGUUCGUAAU